Molecule: ribosomal RNA, 468 nt
Filed under: uncultured bacterium
Lineage: Bacteria
Description: partial 16S ribosomal RNA
Rfam family: Bacterial small subunit ribosomal RNA
Source: RNAcentral
GACGAACGCUGGCGGCGGGCUUAACACAUGCAAGUCGAACGGAAAGGCCCUGCUUUUGUGGGGUGCUCGAGUGGCGAACGGGUGAGUAACACGUGAGUAACCUGCCCUUGACUUUGGGAUAACUUCAGGAAACUGGGGCUAAUACAGGAUAGGAGCUCCUGCUGCAGGGUGGGGGUGGGAAAGUUUCGGCGGGUGGGGAUGGACUCGCGGCUUAUCAGCUUGUUGGUGGGGUAGUGGCUUACCAAGGCUUUGACGGGUAGCCGGCCUGGGAGGGUGGCCGGCCACAUUGGGCCUGAGAUACGGACCAGUGUCCUACGGUGGGCAGUGGUGGGGAAUAUUGCCCAGUGGGCGGACGCCUGAUGCGGCAACGCCGCGUGCGGGAUGCCGGCCUUCGGGUUGUGAACCGCUUUCGCCUGUGACGACGCGUGAGUGACGGUACUGGGUAAAGAAGCACCGGCUAACUACGUG